UACUGGAAUGUCCUCUCCGUCAGGUUCAU
This 29-nucleotide non-coding RNA is filed under the name Bombyx mori (domestic silkworm). Lineage: Eukaryota; Metazoa; Arthropoda; Insecta; Lepidoptera; Bombycidae. The record is from RNAcentral.